RNAcentral lists this ribosomal RNA (433 nucleotides) under uncultured bacterium. RNAcentral describes it as "partial 16S ribosomal RNA". It matches the Rfam family "Bacterial small subunit ribosomal RNA", at positions 29 to 507 of the family's 1533-position model. The record is from RNAcentral.
AACGAACGCUGGCGGCAUGCCUAACACAUGCAAGUCGAACGAGACCUUCGGGUCUAGUGGCGAACGGGUGCGUAACGCGUGGGAACCUGCCCUUAGGUUCGGAAUAACUCCCCGAAAGGGGUGCUAAUACCGGAUAAUGUCUUCGGACCAAAGAUUUAUCGCCUUUGGAGGGGCCCGCGUUGGAUUAGCUAGUGGGUAGGGUAAAAGCCUACCAAGGCGACGAUCCAUAGCUGGUCUGAGAGGAUGAUCAGCCACACUGGGACUGAGACACGGCCCAGACUCCUACGGGAGGCAGCAGUGGGGAAUAUUGGACCAUGGGCGAGAGCCUGAUCCAGCAAUGCCGCGUGAGUGAUGAAGGCCUUAGGGUUGUAAAGCUCUUUUACCCGGGAUGAUAAUGACAGUACCGGGAGAAUAAGCUCCGGCUAACUCCGUG